Long non-coding RNA from Lagopus leucura (white-tailed ptarmigan), 873 nucleotides. RefSeq lists it as uncharacterized. The record is from RefSeq and is a predicted model, not a curated record. Lineage: Eukaryota; Metazoa; Chordata; Aves; Galliformes; Phasianidae. The transcript has 3 exons.
UAAAUUUUGGUGAAAGCUGUUCUGUCACCUUCAGAGAAAAAUUAUAACAUAUAAAAAUCUUUUUGAGUGUAUAGAGAUAAAUAUUUUUGUUUGGUUUUGUUCUUCCCUUUUCUUCUUCCCACCUUUAACCUUCAUUUUGCUGUUUGAAAUGAGUGGAAUUCUGAAUUCUUCUAGGAGUAGGGUGAUAACAGCAUAAGUCUGUGCAGUGUUGAGAGAGCGUGUGGAGAAAAUUGGUAGUGAAGAGAGGGAUUUUUCAUUUGGGUUGUCAUUAUUUAACUUUUUUCAUAGCCUCUUCCCUUUCUAAACCAUGGCUGCUAGAACUUUGGAAGUUGCUGUGAGACUCUGUCAGCAUUGAUUCCCUGCUUUGCACCCAGUUGAGAGUUUUUCUUCAAGACUCCAAGGAACUUAAAGAAAAGCAGAGAUAAGAAAAGAAAUAAAAUUUCAGCACACUUGAUUAACAGCAACAUAUCAAAGAAGCAGUGACAUAACUGGCUGUAUGCCAAUAGUUGGUUCAUGCACAGUUCACUUUAUUGGCGAUCAGAUCCACCUUUGCUAUUUCUGAUCACGAUGCUUAUGUGCUAUCCAGAAUUCUCUGCAUUACAGUCCCUGAAGAAAUGAAACAGCAGAACAGCAACAAUGACAGAAAUGGGAGAUAAGGGCAGCCUGACACUGCAAUCUUGUUAAGCUCCACAGAAGAGGCAUAAUUUCCUACCUACCAGCUUCUGCUAUCCGUGUACCAGACUUCUGUAUCAGUAUGGCCCUAUUUAAUCCUUUUUCCUUAAGGGUUGUUUUUUUGUUUUGUCUUUUUUUUUUUUUUUUUUCCUGCUUACACUGGGUUUUCCAACAUAGUAAAGCUGUAGUGUGUUCCCGUCA